This 497-nucleotide ribosomal RNA is filed under the name uncultured bacterium. RNAcentral's name for it is "partial 16S ribosomal RNA". It matches the Rfam family "Bacterial small subunit ribosomal RNA", at positions 28 to 507 of the family's 1533-position model. The record is from RNAcentral.
GAUGAACGCUGGCGGCGUGCCUAAUACAUGCAAGUCGAGCGAACAGAUGAGGAGCUUGCUCCUCUGACGUUAGCGGCGGACGGGUGAGUAACACGUGGAUAACCUAUCUAUAAGACUGGGAUAACUUCGGGAAACCGGAGCUAAUACCGGAUAAUAUAUUGAACCGCAUGGUUCAAUAGUGAAAGACGGUUUUGCUGUCACUUAUAGAUGGAUCCGCGCCGCAUUAGCUAGUUGGUAAGGUAACGGCUUACCAAGGCAACGAUGCGUAGCCGACCUGAGAGGGUGAUCGGCCACACUGGAACUGAGACACGGUCCAGACUCCUACGGGAGGCAGCAGUAGGGAAUCUUCCGCAAUGGGCGAAAGCCUGACGGAGCAACGCCGCGUGAGUGAUGAAGGUCUUCGGAUCGUAAAACUCUGUUAUUAGGGAAGAACAAAUGUGUAAGUAACUAUGCAUGUCUUGACGGUACCUAAUCAGAAAGCCACGGCUAACUACGUG